GAUGAACGCUAGCGGCAGGCUUAACACAUGCAAGUCGAGGGGUAGAAGGAGCUUGCUCCUUUGAGACCGGCGCACGGGUGCGUAACGCGUAUGCAAUCUACCUUUUGCAGAGGGAUAGCCCAGAGAAAUUUGGAUUAAUACCUCAUAGUAUGUGAGGAUGGCAUCAUUUUCACAUUAAAGUCACAACGGCAAAAGAUGAGCAUGCGUCCCAUUAGCUAGUUGGUAAGGUAACGGCUUACCAAGGCUACGAUGGGUAGGGGUCCUGAGAGGGAGAUCCCCCACCACUGGUACUGAGACACGGACCAGACUCCUACGGGAGGCAGCAGUGAGGAAUAUUGGUCAAUAGGGCGCAAGCCUGAACCAGCCAUGCCGCGUGCAGGAAGACGGUCCUAUGGAUUGUAAACUGCUUUUAUACAGGAAGAAACCCUCCCACGUGUGGGAGCUUGACGGUACUGUAGGAAUAAGGAUCGGCUAA
RNAcentral lists this ribosomal RNA (475 nucleotides) under uncultured bacterium. Its description in RNAcentral is "bacterial SSU rRNA". It matches the Rfam family "Bacterial small subunit ribosomal RNA", at positions 28 to 500 of the family's 1533-position model. The record is from RNAcentral.